Molecule: ribosomal RNA, 1159 nt
Filed under: Salmonella enterica
Lineage: Bacteria; Pseudomonadati; Pseudomonadota; Gammaproteobacteria; Enterobacterales; Enterobacteriaceae
Also listed under: 1 other name
Description: partial 23S ribosomal RNA
Rfam family: Bacterial large subunit ribosomal RNA
Source: RNAcentral
ACCAUGCACCGAAGCUGCGGCAGCGACACUGUGUGUUGUUGGGUAGGGGAGCGUUCUGUAAGCCUGUGAAGGUGUGUCGUGAGGCAUGCUGGAGGUAUCAGAAGUGCGAAUGCUGACAUAAGUAACGAUAAAGCGGGUGAAAAGCCCGCUCGCCGGAAGACCAAGGGUUCCUGUCCAACGUUAAUCGGGGCAGGGUGAGUCGACCCCUAAGGCGAGGCCGAAAGGCGUAGUCGAUGGGAAACGGGUUAAUAUUCCCGUACUUGGUGUUACUGCGAAGGGGGGACGGAGAAGGCUAUGUUGGCCGGGCGACGGUUGUCCCGGUUUAAGCGUGUAGGUGUGUGUUCCAGGUAAAUCCGGUUCACUUUAACACUGAGGCGUGACGACGAGGCACUACGGUGCUGAAGCAACAAAUGCCCUGCUUCCAGGAAAAGCCUCUAAGCAUCAGGUAACAUCAAAUCGUACCCCAAACCGACACAGGUGGUCAGGUAGAGAAUACCAAGGCGCUUGAGAGAACUCGGGUGAAGGAACUAGGCAAAAUGGUGCCGUAACUUCGGGAGAAGGCACGCUGACACGUAGGUGAAGUGAUUUACUCAUGGAGCUGAAGUCAGUCGAAGAUACCAGCUGGCUGCAACUGUUUAUUAAAAACACAGCACUGUGCAAACACGAAAGUGGACGUAUACGGUGUGACGCCUGCCCGGUGCCGGAAGGUUAAUUGAUGGGGUCAGCGCAAGCGAAGCUCCUGAUCGAAGCCCCGGUAAACGGCGGCCGUAACUAUAACGGUCCUAAGGUAGCGAAAUUCCUUGUCGGGUAAGUUCCGACCUGCACGAAUGGCGUAAUGAUGGCCAGGCUGUCUCCACCCGAGACUCAGUGAAAUUGAACUCGCUGUGAAGAUGCAGUGUACCCGCGGCAAGACGGAAAGACCCCGUGAACCUUUACUAUAGCUUGACACUGAACAUUGAGCCUUGAUGUGUAGGAUAGGUGGGAGGCUUUGAAGUGUGGACGCCAGUCUGCAUGGAGCCGACCUUGAAAUACCACCCUUUAAUGUUUGAUGUUCUAACGUGGACCCGUUACCCGGGUUGCGGACAGUGUCUGGUGGGUAGUUUGACUGGGGCGGUCUCCUCCUAAAGAGUAACGGAGGAGCACGAAGGUUGGCUAAUCC